GAAUCUCUCCAAAUCAUUCUAUUUUCUUUGUGGCAAAAGGCAAGAGGUAGAAGACUCAGAAAUUGAAGUGGGCGCAAAAGUGGGCCAUUGUAACAACGCGAGGGACAUUUCACCCUCACCGAGCACCUCUCUUCCUGAAGGGUCCUGCCGUGCGCUGGCUGAACUGAUCAGAAAGUCCGGGCGUUUUGGAGCGGGGAAUGCAGAGCGCCCCAAGAAGCCAGCAGAAGAGAGGGAUCGGCGGGGAGUUGGCAAAGGCGAGGCCCCUACCAGAAACGCUUGCCAAUCCGUGCUCAAGGCUAUGAGGAGAUUCACGGGAGGAAGUCUUAUGAGAAGCCCCUGUUUCUGCAUACAGGAGAUCUGAAAUAAAGCCCUGACCCUCUGUGUUUGCUGGAGUGCACAAUGCGGGCGCUGUAUUCCCCUUCCCAUGCCCACCAGUCUUAACAAAAAUCUACAAACUAUCUCCAAGGAGAUGGAAAGGGCUUAUCUCUUCAGUUAAAUUGGGAAAAUACAGCGGAAAAAUUUGCCCAGAUGGUGUAUGAAUCCAAAUGAGAAACACACCUCCAAAGAGCAGGGUGCAUUGCUGGUGGGAGCAUCCAGGGUUAGGAGAGGAGGAGGAGGAGGGAUAUUUGGGGAAAAGGAUGUCAACGCUGUUCAGAAAUUUUUGCCUGCCCUUUGCAAUCACUUAAAUAAUCUGUGGUGUUCAGUGGGUAUUUUACCUGACCUAAUUAAAAAUCAGAUUGCUAUUUUAACUGAGAAAAAUAGGACUUUCAACUGUUUUAGAAAGAAGAAAAGAAUAAACAUUAUCAAGACCAUCUCUUAGAAGAUUAGGACAAAAAAAUCCAAGAGGAGAGGCUUCAAAGCUGUUUUUGUUUUCCCUGGCUUUGAAAUACAUAGAGAG
This is a long non-coding RNA of Bos taurus (domestic cattle), 898 nucleotides long. The record is from Ensembl. NCBI's taxonomy places the organism in Eukaryota, Metazoa, Chordata, Mammalia, Artiodactyla, Bovidae.